GUGUCAGCCGCCGCGGUAAUACGUAGGGGGCAAGCGUUGUCCGGAUUUAUUGGGCGUAAAGAGCUCGUAGGCGGCUUGGCAAGUCGGAUGUGAAACCUCCAGGCUUAACCUGGAGUCGCCAUUCGAUACUGCUAUGGCUAGAGUUUGGUAGGGGACAACGGAAUUCUUGGUGUAGCGGUGAAAUGCGCAGAUAUCAGGAGGAACACCAGCGGCGAAGGCGGGGGUCUGGGCCAAUACUGACGCUGAGGAGCGAAAGCGUGGGGAGCGAACAGGAUUAGAUACCCCCGUAGUCC
Molecule: ribosomal RNA, 293 nt
Filed under: uncultured Acidimicrobiales bacterium
Lineage: Bacteria; Bacillati; Actinomycetota; Acidimicrobiia; Acidimicrobiales
Description: partial 16S ribosomal RNA
Rfam family: Bacterial small subunit ribosomal RNA
Source: RNAcentral